RNAcentral lists this unclassified non-coding RNA (464 nucleotides) under Hevea brasiliensis (rubber tree). The record is from RNAcentral. Lineage: Eukaryota; Viridiplantae; Streptophyta; Magnoliopsida; Malpighiales; Euphorbiaceae.
GGUAACUCUAUCUCUAAUCUCUGUCCUCGAAGCGAUCAGGUUUUGUUUAUUUCUCCGGAUAUUAUUGUUGAAAUGCGUUUAAAUUCACCUACCACCACCAAAAUGCUUUGGCUGGAGACUGGAGGAGUGGAGGGGGCAUUUUGACCUGCGUAGAAAGGGGUUUUGGACAAGAACAGCUUCAGGACUAUAGUUAUUAGCUUGAUCCUUAGUAAUUCGAUACUUCUCGAAUGUCCAGUCCUUGCUUCUGGCUGUGGAAUCAUAGUUUAUUUGUCACUCAAUGCCCGAUUUAUCGCUACAACCACCAUUUGAGUAGUUUUGUAUUUGUUUUCAUGCUUGAACUUUUAUAUCUCACCUCAACUCUUGCGGCUGCAUAAAACAUAAUCUAUCUAUGAAGAAAACGGUUGUCCUGAAAUUUGAAGGAGUUUUGGCCAUCACUGUCCCUGUUUUUUUUUUUUCUUUUUAUU